GACGAACGCUGGCGGCGUGCUUAACACAUGCAAGUCGAACGGAAAGGCCCUGCUUUUGUGGGGUGCUCGAGUGGCGAACGGGUGAGUAACACGUGAGUAACCUGCCCUUGACUUUGGGAUAACUUCAGGAAACUGGGGCUAAUACCGGAUAGGAGCUCCUGCUGCAUGGUGGGGGUUGGAAAGUUUCGGCGGUUGGGGAUGGACUCGCGGCUUAUCAGCUUGUUGGUGGGGUAGUGGCUUACCAAGGCUUUGACGGGUAGCCGGCCUGAGAGGGUGACCGGCCACAUUGGGACUGAGAUACGGCCCAGACUCCGACGGGAGGGAGCAGUGGGGAAUAUUGCACAAUGGGCGGAAGCCUGAUGCAGCAACGCCGCGUGCGGGAUGACGGCCUUCGGGUUGUAAACCGCUUUCGCCUGUGGCGAAGCGUGAGUGACGGUAAUGGGUACAGAAGCACCGGCUAACUACGUG
Molecule: ribosomal RNA, 468 nt
Filed under: uncultured bacterium
Lineage: Bacteria
Description: partial 16S ribosomal RNA
Rfam family: Bacterial small subunit ribosomal RNA
Source: RNAcentral